Molecule: ribosomal RNA, 258 nt
Filed under: uncultured bacterium
Lineage: Bacteria
Description: partial 16S ribosomal RNA
Rfam family: Bacterial small subunit ribosomal RNA
Source: RNAcentral
GAUCAUGGCUCAGGAUGAACGCUAGCUACAGGCUUAACACAUGCAAGUCGGAGGGGCAGCAUUUUUAUAGCAAUAUAAAAAGAUGGCGACCGGCGCACGGGUGAGUAACACGUAUCCAACCUGCCGAUAACUCGGGGAUAACCCUUCGAAAGAAGGCCUAAUACCCGAUGGCAUAUCCCUUCCGCCUGGUGGGGGAUAUUAAAAGAACUUCGGUUAUCGAUGGGGAUGCGUUCCAUUAGCUUGUUGGCGGGGUAACGG